CCUACGGGAGGCAGCAGUGGGGAAUAUUGGACAAUGGGCGGAAGCCUGAUCCAGCAACGCCGCGUGAGGGAUGACGGCCUUCGGGUUGUAAACCUCUUUCAGCACAGACGAAGCGCAAGUGACGGUAUGUGCAGAAGAAGGACCGGCCAACUACGUGCCAGCAGCCGCGGUAAU
This 174-nucleotide ribosomal RNA is filed under the name uncultured bacterium. Its description in RNAcentral is "partial 16S rRNA". It matches the Rfam family "Bacterial small subunit ribosomal RNA", at positions 338 to 524 of the family's 1533-position model. RNAcentral also lists the same sequence under 1 other name. The record is from RNAcentral.